AUACUUACACAUGAUCACGAAGGUUCACCCAGUGCCAUUGCACUUUGGUGGUGCUGACUCAUGCGAAUUCUGCAAAUGCGGGAAUUUCAUCUGCAUAAUUCGUCUGGUAGUGGGGGACUACGUUUGCGCUCUCCCCUG
Molecule: small nuclear RNA, 138 nt
Organism: Pygocentrus nattereri (red-bellied piranha)
Lineage: Eukaryota; Metazoa; Chordata; Actinopteri; Characiformes; Serrasalmidae
Gene: U1
Rfam family: U1 spliceosomal RNA
About the family: U1 is a small nuclear RNA (snRNA) component of the spliceosome (involved in pre-mRNA splicing). Its 5' end forms complementary base pairs with the 5' splice junction, thus defining the 5' donor site of an intron.
Source: Ensembl